This 1309-nucleotide ribosomal RNA is filed under the name uncultured bacterium. RNAcentral's name for it is "bacterial SSU rRNA". It matches the Rfam family "Bacterial small subunit ribosomal RNA", at positions 28 to 1381 of the family's 1533-position model. The record is from RNAcentral.
AACGUACGCUGGCGGCACGCCUAACGCAUGCAAGUCGAACGAAGUAGCAAUACUUAGUGGCAGACGGGUGAGUAACAUUGUAGGUAUCUGCCCUUUUGGCCUGGAAUAACACGAGGAAACUUGUGCUAAUACCGGAUAAGUCUUUACGGAGAAAGCUUUAUGCACCAUUGGAUGAGCCUGCACUUGAUUAGUUUGUUGGUGGGGUAAUGGCCUACCAAGACUGUGAUUCAAUAGCUGAUUUGAGAGGAUGAUCAGCCACAUUGGGACUGAGACACGGCCCAAACUCCUACGGGAGGCAGCAGUGGGGAAUCUUGCACAAUGGAGGAAACUCUGAUGCAGCGAUGCCGCGUGAGUGAAGAAGGCCCUUGGGUUGUAAAGCUCUUUCGUCGGGGAAGAAAAUGACUGUACCCGAAUAAGAAGGUCCGGCUAACUUCGUGCCAGCAGCCGCGGUAAUACGAAGGGACCUAGCGUAGUUCGGAAUUACUGGGCUUAAAGAGUUCGUAGGUGGUUGAAAAAGUUAGUGGUGAAAUCCCAGAGCUUAACUCUGGAACUGCCAUUAAAACUUUUCAGCUAGAGUAUGAUAGAGGAAAGCAGAAUUUCUAGUGUAGAGGUGAAAUUCGUAGAUAUUAGAAAGAAUACCAAUUGCGAAGGCAGCUUUCUGGAUCAUUACUGACACUGAGGAACGAAAGCAUGGGUAGCGAAGAGGAUUAGAUACCCUCGUAGUCCAUGCCGUAAACGAUGUGUGUUAGACGUUGGAAAUUUAUUUUCAGUGUCGCAGGGAAACCGAUAAACACACCGCCUGGGGAGUACGACCGCAAGGUUAAAACUCAAAUGAAUUGACGGGGACCCGCACAAGUAGUGGAGCAUGUGGUUUAAUUCGAAGAUACGCGCAGAACCUUACCAACACUUGACAUGUUCGUCGCGACUCUAAGAGAUUAGAGUUUUCGGUUCGGCCGGACGAAACACAGGUGCUGCAUGGCUGUCGUCAGCUCGUGUCGUGAGAUGUUGGGUUAAGUCCCGCAACGAGCGCAACCCUCACUUUUAGUUGCCAUCAUUAAGUUGGGCACUCUGAAAGAACUGCCAGUGAUAAGCUGGAGGAAGGUGGGGAUGACGUCAAGUCCUCAUGGCCCUUACGUGUUGGGCUACACACGUGCUACAAUGGUAUCUACAACAGGAAGCAAGACUGCGAAGUUAAGCAAAUCCCUAAAAGAUACCUCAGUUCGGAUUGCACUCUGCAACUCGAGUGCAUGAAGCUGGAAUUACUAGUAAUCGUGGAUCAGCGUGCCACGGUGAAUGCGUUCCCGGGUCU